RNAcentral lists this ribosomal RNA (685 nucleotides) under Escherichia coli. RNAcentral describes it as "bacterial LSU rRNA". It matches the Rfam family "Bacterial large subunit ribosomal RNA", at positions 1 to 722 of the family's 2925-position model. The record is from RNAcentral. Lineage: Bacteria; Pseudomonadati; Pseudomonadota; Gammaproteobacteria; Enterobacterales; Enterobacteriaceae.
GUUGUGAGGUUAAGCGACUAGGCGUACACCGUGGAUGCCCUGUGAGUGUGAGGCUAUGAAGGACGUUCUAAUCUCCGAUAAGCGUCGGGCAGGUGAUAUGAACCCUAAUAACCGGCGAUCUCCUAAUGGGGAAACCCAGUGUGUUUCGACACACUAUCAUUAACUGAAUCCAUAGGUUAAUGAGGCGAACCGGGGGAACUGAAACAUCUAAGUACCCCGAGGAAAAGAAAUCAACCGAGAUUCCCCCAGUAGCGGCGAGCGAACGGGGAGGAGCCCAGAGCCUGAAUCAGUGUGUGUGUUAGUGGAAGCGUCUGGAAAGGCGCGCGAUACAGGGUGACAGCCCCGUACACAAAAAUGCACAUACUGUGAGCUCGAUGAGUAGGGCGGGACACGUGGUAUCCUGUCUGAAUAUGGGGGGACCAUCCUCCAAGGCUAAAUACUCCUGACUGACCGAUAGUGAACCAGUACCGUGAGGGAAAGGCGAAAAGAACCCCGGCGAGGGGAGUGAAAAAGAACCUGAAACCGUGUACGUACAAGCAGUGGGAGCCUCUUAAUGGGGUGACUGCGUACCUUUUGUAUAAUGGGUCAGCGACUUAUAUUCUGUAGCAAGGUUAACCGAAUAGGGGAGCCGAAGGGAAACCGAGUCUUAACUGGGCGCUAAGUUGCAGGGUAUAGACCCGAAACC